Molecule: long non-coding RNA, 3498 nt
Filed under: Homo sapiens (human)
Lineage: Eukaryota; Metazoa; Chordata; Mammalia; Primates; Hominidae
Description: non-protein coding CPEB2-DT:18
Source: RNAcentral
AUACGCCUCGCCGCAGAACAGGGGCCCAGGACUGCUACUUCGGAGCGGGGCGGUCUGCAGCACCCCAAACCCGAAAUCCCUCAUUUAUCAGGCCGCCGGCAGCGGGAGGAGACGCUCCUCGUCCCCUGCCCCACCUAGGAAGCCGCCGGCGCUGGGGUUGCGCGGCCGUGGUGGAAGGAGGGGGAGUCAGUGAGAGAGGGACACCGUGACUGAGCCAGGGGGCACCGACUUCGGCCCCACCACCCCUCGCGGCGAUCGCCGCCGCCGCCGCCGUCGCAGUCGCCGUAGCCGCCCUGGCCGCUUAAGAACCCCGGAACGUGCGUCAGCGCCACCUCACAAUCGCGCCGCCCCCCGCGGUGCGUCCCGGCACGCGCGGGCGCGAGGCCACCGCGUCCCCGUCGCCCCUCCCCGCCCCUCAUUACUAUGCAGACGCAGCCGAGGGCGCGCUCGCGCUCCCGGGAGGGCGGGAGCGAGCGGCGUGUCCCGUUGGGUCUCUCCGCUCCCGGGGAAAUGGACAGGCCGGUUGGGGUGGGGGUCGGCUGGCAAACAGUGGUCGGGAGCAUUGGGCGGGCGCGCGCACGAGGGCAAGCACGCGCGGGAGGGAGGGACGGUUCCUGGGCAACGGCCCCUCCUUGGCGCGGGAUCCGCGCAGAGUCUGCCUGGGUCGCACGCGUCUCCGCCCCUCGCGGUGCCUCCUCCUUCCUGUCACCUCGGUUCCGCCCUGGGUGGGGAGAAGCCCUGCUGCACCACUCGGGCUUCCCAGAGCGGGGCUGGCCCGCGGGGGAAACUGAGGCCCGGGACCCCGACCGGCGCCUGCACUGUGCGACCCGCGUAGAAAUAGGCGCCCGAGGGGCCCCCAGCGCAACGCGGGAGCCCGGCCCAGCCCGGGGGUCCUGUGGUGAACUAGCGUCUGGGCUCUGCCGGCUUGAAGUCCGCUGAGCGCCUCGCCGCGCACCUCUAGACCCCGAGUCCCCGAUCUAGGGCCUCCUUGUAGCCCUAGGUAGCGCCCUCUAAGCUUGUUUCUGUUUUUAGGCGCUGGUAGGAGUGCUGUCACCGACGUCGUAGAGCCGCCGAGGGUGUUUCUGUAGGGUAAACAUGAAGCCUCGGCUAUAUUCCAGGCAUUUUCACUUGGGUAAGAAGGAACAAAGUCCCUGGAACAAACACGCUCCGCGUGGUUAUUUACACACUCGGAUGCGUGGAACGGGUUCCACGGCGAGCUCCCAUAGUAACCCCGGGCCAGCUCCGCUUCAUAAAAGCCUUUCGUGUGCCAUCAGGGCUGCAGCGUGGGACUCCUCCCCACCACAUUCAUUCCGGCGUCCCCGCCCCUUCCCCCCAGGGAGACUCUAAUUUAUUCCUAAGCUUUAUGAAUUUUCAAGGGAGAAAUAGUUCUUACAUCAGGGAAAAAAGGAGGUUCUGACUCAGCAGCAGACUUGUUGAGACUUGCAAAAUGGAAGGGAGAGAGCUUUCCAUGGUAGAGCUCUUUAGAAGCAUUAGAGGAGGAACUAAUCCUGUGUUUCCUUUUGUAUAGAAACAUUUUACAUAAAGUAUUUGAAGGUCUAGAUAAAGAAUAACAGAGUGAUCCAUACUACAUGAUGAGGAGCUGUCCAAACACCAUGCAGAUGCUCCUAGGAUUCUUAAACUAGCCAAAAAUAAUUCCAGGCAUUGUCAGAUAUAGGAUAAGUACAUGAAGACAGGUAAGUCAUCCCAAGACUAUAACGCUGGGGAAUAGAUAACCCUGGAGUACAAGGGGGAAAACUUCUGUCUCAGGAGACUAGAGUUGGGACUCCAGGAACACAGGGGUUCAUUACAGGAGCUUGAACAAAGAGAGGAGUCAAGACCCCAUCUCAUAGAAAUGGAACCAGUUCAGGAGGCACUGCAGUUAAGGUCAACUGGAUGCCUUACUUCCAUGCUGCUGGUUUCUUUCUGUGGCAGAGCCCAUGCCCAUAAAUGUAAUUAACCCCACAGAAUGGGAAAGCUUUGAGUCUUUAGAUGGGAGCUAAUUAGCUCUGGUUUGGAGUUGGAAAAGGAGAAAGUAGAAAUUAAGAUUCAUUCUGACCUUGACCAACUUCAAGGUGCUUUAUUGAUGUGGCACUCAAGAGUAGUACCAUCCUCAAUUACUUCUAGUUCUCCUACUUUUCUAAACCUUCCUUCAUAAUUUCCUCCUUCACUUUCUCCUUACAUAUUCUUUACGUGUGAGAGUUCCUUAGGCUUAUGUUUCUGGUCCUUUUCUAUAUUUCUACCUACUUUUUCUAGAUGAAUUUAUUAUCAUGUUUUCAAACAUCAUCUAAAUGCUAAUGUCUUCCAAAUCCAUCUCUUUAGCCUCAUGGUCAAAAUCAUAUUUCCAACUGCCUGUUUAACAGUUUGACCUGGGUGUCCUUCAGCCACAUCAAUUCAAUGUGUCUAUACCUGCAUUCAACAUCUUCCCCAAAAUCUGCUUCUCCUAUUUUGCUUCUUGUCUUGGCUGACGUCAUCAUCACACAACCAGUUUCUCAAGCUGAAACAUGAGUCAUCCUCUUCCUUCAUCUCUCUCACCCUCCAAAAACAAUUGUCAACCAUGCUCUGUCAAUUAUACUGCAGAAACGUUACUCAAAUGUAAUUCCUUCAUGUAUCUCCGCAUUCCCUUGCCUUUCACAUUCCUGGAACACAAGUGCCCAAUAAGUAUUUGUUGAUUAGUAAUUGCCCAAUGAAUGCUGUAAGAAGAAAAGAUGAAGAAAAGGAGAAAACAAGGUAAGGAAAGGAAGGAGGGAGAUGGAAGGAAGGAAAGAGGUAGAUGUUUCCAAAGCAUGCUUUACAAAGACAUGAGCCAUUUUGUGGAUAACUGUAGCAUUGUUACCUUAUGUUUACUGGAGAAAAAAUAAAAUGAAUAAUCAUAAUAACAAUGACAAAAAAGUUAUUUUCCUUCCCAAUAUUUUUUCCUUGACAAUACCAAACUAAAAGUUUCACUCUGGUUAUUACGAUCUCUAUUCUGGUUAUUAUGCCAUACAAAGAUGAACUCAUUGACAAAGAAAAAUAUCAAGAAUCUUCCCCUGAUGACAAAGUGUAGCCCCGAAACAUAAUAGAAGGUCUGUGUUACCCUUUGUGGCAUCCAGGGGAUUUAUCAUCCCACUCCAAUACCCCCACCUAGGAGAGAACCUGUCAGCCUCUCCAGUAAUUUCUGCCACGAUGCUCACUGGGCCCUUACGUAGACUGACUGACUUCUCUAUUGCUACUUAUCUUGUAUCUUUAAGGCCAUGUGAACUCGAUUGAAUUACAAGUCUUUGUAGGCAGUUGCUAUGCCUUAUAUGUUCUUUAAUUUUCCUAGUUCUUAUUGAUUGAUUUAUGUAUUCAGAAACUCUCUGUUGAGUGCCUGCUCUGUACCAGACACUGUGCAAGGCACUAUGGGUAUAACUGUGAAAAGAACAGAAAAUAUAUCCAUUAUUCUGUACAUCCUCACAGAGGCUGUAAAUAAAUACUGUUGACAUUAGUUAUGAUAAUUCCCAACCCUAAUUAUCUGGGCAG